GGGUUGUGAGGUUAAGCGACUAAGCGUACACGGUGGAUGCCCUGGCAGUCAGAGGCGAUGAAGGGCGUGCUAAUCUGCGAUAAGCGCCGGUAAGGUGAUAUGAACCGUUAUAACCGGCGAUACCCGAAUGGGGAAACCCAGUGUGACUCGUCACACUAUCAUUAACUGAAUCCAUAGGUUAAUGAGGCGAACCGGGGGAACUGAAACAUCUAAGUACCCCGAGGAAAAGAAAUCAACCGAGAUUCCCCCAGUAGCGGCGAGCGAACGGGGAGGAGCCCAGAGCCUGAAUCAGCAUGUGUGUUAGUGGAAGCGUCUGGAAAGGCGCGCGAUACAGGGUGACAGCCCCGUACACAAAAGCGCAUGUGCUGUGAGCUCGAUGAGUAGGGCGGGACACGUGGUAUCCUGUCUGAAUAUGGGGGGACCAUCCUCCAAGGCUAAAUACUCCUGACUGACCGAUAGUGAACCAGUACCGUGAGGGAAAGGCGAAAAGAACCCCGGCGAGGGGAGUGAAAAAGAACCUGAAACCGUGUACGUACAAGCAGUGGGAGCCCCACCACUAAGCCAGUGGUGAACUCCACAUACGCAUCCUUUGCUGAGGAUACGGUUAAGGGAGCGAAAGCGACGUUCAACCGCAAAAGAAGCAGAGGGGGCUUAGUGGUGGGGUGACUGCGUACCUUUUGUAUAAUGGGUCAGCGACUUAUAUUCUGUAGCAAGGUUAACCGUAUAGGGGAGCCGUAGGGAAACCGAGUCUUAACCGGGCGUUAAGUUGCAGGGUAUAGACCCGAAACCCGGUGAUCUAGCCAUGGGCAGGUUGAAGGUUGGGUAACACUAACUGGAGGACCGAACCGACUAAUGUUGAAAAAUUAGCGGAUGACCUGUGGCUGGGGGUGAAAGGCCAAUCAAACCGGGAGAUAGCUGGUUCUCCCCGAAAGCUAUUUAGGUAGCGCCUCGUGAACUCAUCUCCGGGGGUAGAGCACUGUUUCGGCUAGGGGGUCAUCCCGACUUACCAACCCGAUGCAAACUGCGAAUACCGGAGAAUGUUAUCACGGGAGACACACGGCGGGUGCUAACGUCCGUCGUGAAGAGGGAAACAACCCAGACCGCCAGCUAAGGUCCCAAAGUCAUGGUUAAGUGGGAAACGAUGUGGGAAGGCCCAGACAGCCAGGAUGUUGGCUUAGAAGCAGCCAUCAUUUAAAGAAAGCGUAAUAGCUCACUGGUCGAGUCGGCCUGCGCGGAAGAUGUAACGGGGCUAAACCAUGCACCGAAGCUGCGGCAGCGACACUGUG
This 1286-nucleotide ribosomal RNA is filed under the name Salmonella enterica. Its description in RNAcentral is "partial 23S ribosomal RNA". It matches the Rfam family "Bacterial large subunit ribosomal RNA", at positions 1 to 1218 of the family's 2925-position model. The record is from RNAcentral. Lineage: Bacteria; Pseudomonadati; Pseudomonadota; Gammaproteobacteria; Enterobacterales; Enterobacteriaceae.